UUCUUCGGGGUUGGGUGAAAUUCCCUACCGGCGGUAUAGUCCGCGACCCGUAUGUGCAGGAGACUGACAGGAUAGUCAGAGGCAGGCACAGCGGCUGAUUUGGUGCGAUUCCAAAACCGACAGUACAGUCUGGAUGAGAGAAGAA
This 145-nucleotide non-coding RNA is filed under the name bovine gut metagenome. RNAcentral's name for it is "FMN riboswitch (RFN element)". It matches the Rfam family "FMN riboswitch aptamer (RFN element)". Rfam says of the family: The RFN element is a highly conserved domain that is found frequently in the 5'-untranslated regions of prokaryotic mRNAs that encode for flavin mononucleotide (FMN) biosynthesis and transport proteins. The record is from RNAcentral.